UAUAUAACAAGCAACAAAUAC
This 21-nucleotide non-coding RNA is filed under the name Caenorhabditis elegans. Lineage: Eukaryota; Metazoa; Nematoda; Chromadorea; Rhabditida; Rhabditidae. The record is from RNAcentral.